Molecule: ribosomal RNA, 95 nt
Filed under: Escherichia coli
Lineage: Bacteria; Pseudomonadati; Pseudomonadota; Gammaproteobacteria; Enterobacterales; Enterobacteriaceae
Description: partial 16S ribosomal RNA
Rfam family: Bacterial small subunit ribosomal RNA (bases 1-83)
Source: RNAcentral
CGCUUACCACUUUGUGAUUCAUGACUGGGGUGAAGUCGUAACAAGGUAACCGUAGGGGAACCUGCGGUUGGAUCACCUCCUUAUCUUAAAGAAGC